This 357-nucleotide long non-coding RNA is filed under the name Dermacentor andersoni. RNAcentral describes it as "uncharacterized LOC126536213". The record is from RNAcentral. Lineage: Eukaryota; Metazoa; Arthropoda; Arachnida; Ixodida; Ixodidae.
UUUGCGCUACUGAAGCUUAAAAGGCAUCGUAGAUUUUUCAACAACGCAGCUGCAAGUUCCACCAUUUCCUAGAACUUGUCUGACGAAUCGAACUGUGAGUUAGGCACCAAAGCGUCGGCGACCAACUAAAGGUGCCUGACUUGCAAGUAAAGAGUUAUCGCUCCAAGAGGACGCCGAGGCGGACGGACCUAUUGAAAAUGGGAAGCACACAUAUCUCCAAAGACUUGCAAUCAAUUUUCAGGAUAAUCGAUGAGAACAAGGCUGCAAUGGUGGGUUCUCUCAAGGAACUGGUCUCCAUUUCAAGCGUGUCGGCGCAGACCAAACAUCGAGCGGACGUUAAACGCUGCAUCGAGUGGA